AGAGCGAACGCUGGCGGCAGGCUUAACACAUGCAAGUCGAGCGGGCGUAGCAAUACGUCAGCGGCAGACGGGUGAGUAACGCGUGGGAACGUACCUUUUGGUUCGGAACAACCCAGGGAAACUUGGGCUAAUACCGGAUAAGCCCUUACGGGGAAAGAUUUAUCGCCGAAAGAUCGGCCCGCGUCUGAUUAGCUAGUUGGUGAGGUAAUGGCUCACCAAGGCGACGAUCAGUAGCUGGUCUGAGAGGAUGAUCAGCCACAUUGGGACUGAGACACGGCCCAAACUCCUACGGGAGGCAGCAGUGGGAAUAUUGGAUAAUGGGCGCAAGCCUGAUCCAGCCAUGCCGCGUGAGUGAUGAAGGCCCUAGGGUUGUAAAGCUCUUUUGUGCGGGAAGAUAAUGACGGUACCGCAAGAAUAAGCCCGGCUAACUUCGCGCCAGCAGCCGC
This 446-nucleotide ribosomal RNA is filed under the name uncultured bacterium. Its description in RNAcentral is "SSU rRNA". It matches the Rfam family "Bacterial small subunit ribosomal RNA", at positions 26 to 518 of the family's 1533-position model. The record is from RNAcentral.